GACGUAGGGGACGAGCGUUGUCCGGAUUCAUUGGGCGUAAAGAGCGCGUAGGCGGCCGUGCAAGUCGGAUGUGAAAAUCCGGGGCUCAACCCCGGACGUGCAUCCGAUACUGCUCGGCUAGAGGUAGGUAGGGGAGAUCGGAAUUCCUGGUGUAGCGGUGAAAUGCGCAGAUAUCAGGAGGAACACCGAUGGCGAAGGCAGGUCUCUGGGCAUUAACUGACGCUGAGGAGCGAAAGCAUGGGGAGCGAACAGG
RNAcentral lists this ribosomal RNA (253 nucleotides) under uncultured bacterium. RNAcentral's name for it is "partial 16S ribosomal RNA". It matches the Rfam family "Bacterial small subunit ribosomal RNA", at positions 524 to 776 of the family's 1533-position model. The record is from RNAcentral.